This 260-nucleotide ribosomal RNA is filed under the name uncultured bacterium. RNAcentral's name for it is "partial 16S ribosomal RNA". It matches the Rfam family "Bacterial small subunit ribosomal RNA", at positions 793 to 1055 of the family's 1533-position model. The record is from RNAcentral.
GUCCACGCUGUAAACGAUGAAACUUGCUGUUAGGCAUAUAAAUGUGUUUAGUAGCGUAGCUAACGCGUUAAGUUUUCCGCCUGGGGAGUAUGAUCGCAAGGUUAAACUCAAAGGAAUUGACGGGGGCCCGCACAAGCGGUGGAGCAUGUGGUUUAAUUCGAUGAUACACGAAGAACCUUACCUACCCUUGAUCUCCAUGACUAAAUAGAGAUAUUUGGGUGCCUUCGGGAAUUGGAUGACAGGUGCUGCAUGGCUGUCGU